Papaver somniferum (opium poppy) is the source of this 1722-nucleotide long non-coding RNA. RefSeq lists it as uncharacterized. The record is from RefSeq and is a predicted model, not a curated record. NCBI's taxonomy places the organism in Eukaryota, Viridiplantae, Streptophyta, Magnoliopsida, Ranunculales, Papaveraceae. The transcript is spliced from 3 exons.
CUUUCACUAGGGUUUUGCUUUUUCAUUUAUUUUUUUCGCUAGGGUUUUUCUAUUUUAUUUCUCAGUUUUUCAAUUAAUAAUAAUGGUGAUUUUUGAUUUGCAGAAUUCUCAGUAUGUUGGAUGGAUCAACGCAUGCGAUGAUGCUGUUUUUGUUUUGUGGUAUUUGUGACUGGAAAAACUCAAGAUAGCCUUUUCCUUCAGAAACAACUUAUAGGUUUUUUUUUAUUUCCAGAAAAUGAUGAUGCAGAAACGCAACGUAUAGAUCUGGUGAUUUUUUGUUUUUUUUUUUGUUUGUUCUGUUCUGUUUUGUAUUUUAUUUUAUUUUUUUGUUAUGGUCUCUGCAAGGUUCCAUUAUCAGUAUUAGAAUCAAGAGAAAAAAAAUUUAAAAGCGCCCUAAUCAACUCCUAGAUCCCCGGGAACCAGCAUUUAACCCGCACCAAAUGUGCAAGUUUCUUCUUUUAUCGUGCUCCGGUGAGAACAUUAUAAUUCAAGCACCAAAUGGUCCAGUUUCUUCUUCUUACUUCCCACGAUGAGCGGAGAGGACAAUAUAAUCCAAGAUCAGUAGAAGAGGUAUUUAUAAGAGAAUAAGCGCCGGAAUAAUUCAAGAUUUUGUUAUUGAUGUUGAAGAUUGUUUACGCAGUGAGAUGUUUUGUGGUUAUAUAUGAUGAAGAAUUGUUCGCCAUCUUGGUUAGGGUUUUCUUCUUUUCCCGCUCUUUAAAUAUUUAAAAAACUGAUUUUGUUAACUGAUUUUUUUUUCCUAAGAUUCCACAAGCCUAUAGGUGUUGAUGGCUGCGGUAACGGCACGGGAGGUCAUGAGAAUCGAUACUAAUCAUAUUUGGAGCUUCGUGUUGUUGGUGAUACUGUUAAGGAUUUCUUCGAAUACAACUGAACUAGAUGCUCUCUAAUUUCUCAAUUUGGGUUCUUAGUUAUUGGGUUAGAUAUUAAGGAGUUCGAUUAUAUUUAUAUUUAUGUUUGUUAAAAUCUGCGGGCAUCCAACUCAAAAUCAAUUGGCAAUGAGUGGAGCGUCCCUUCCAUAUUAUAUUUAAGUUAAUUAAGCGGAUUCUAGAAAUGUGUGAUUAUUGUCCUUUCACACGCUCCCUCACGUGUAAGGCCAGUCACUCAACCUACCACGUGGACCUACGUACGAGUAACCAGUCAAUCGGUAACAGGUGUACAGGUGAGUGAUUAAAUCGGAGGAUAACACCUCGGCCAGUAUCAGCCAACACUCUGGGUGUACAAGUGACAAAAUCGGUUAAACACUUCGGCCAGUAACUCAACCUACACCCGGCGUACGCAGGUCUGGGUCUGGGGCUUAGCUCUGAUACCAUAUUAAAGUUUGUGGGCAUCCAACUCAAAACCAAUUGGCAAUGAGUGGAGCGGCCCUUCAAUAUUAUGUUUAACUUAAUUAAGCGGAUUCUAGCGAUGUGGGACUAUUGUCCCUUCACAAUGUUUCAGGUUGUAAACUCUAUAUGGCACCAUGGCAUAUCAAAAUAUGCCUUUGGAGAACAUAUAAUAACUAAAGCGUUACGUAGUGACUUUUUACCAAGUCGUCAGCGCACCAUGUCAUAUGGGCAGAUGAAGUGUGCCAAUAAUUGUUUGCACAGACGACUAUUUUUCAAUAAAAUCGAUUAUAUGGCUAGGGUAUAUGGCAUGGUCCAUGAUAAUUGAUAAUUGUUUGUGAAAAGACAAUAAUCUCACAUCGCUAGAAUCCACUUAAUUAAC